This 83-nucleotide transfer RNA is filed under the name Oryctolagus cuniculus (rabbit). It matches the Rfam family "tRNA". From Rfam's summary of the family: Transfer RNA (tRNA) molecules are approximately 80 nucleotides in length. Their secondary structure includes four short double-helical elements and three loops (D, anti-codon, and T loops). Lineage: Eukaryota; Metazoa; Chordata; Mammalia; Lagomorpha; Leporidae. The record is from Rfam by way of RNAcentral.
GGUGCUGUGGCACAGUAGGUUAAUGUCCUGGCCUGAAAUGCCAGCAUCAUAUAUGGGUGCUGGUUCGAGUCCUGGCUGCUCCA